GCCAGGAAGGGAACACAGCAGUGCCUGGAAUAAACUCUGAGUCUGAGCUGGAUUCAAGCCCUGGGGAAAUGGGCUGAAGCCCACACAGGCUUGAGCCACCAACUAUGCAGGAAGUAGUCAUCCUGCUGCUGCUCCUGGAGGCCAUGUCAGGAGAGGCUCUGCAUCUCAUCCACUUACCUGCUGCCAGCAACGUGGCAGAGAAUUCUCCCCCUGGGACUUUGGUGCACAAGUUUUCUGUGAAUUUAUCGGUGUCCUUGUCACCUGUGGUCCCAGGAUUUCCCCUGAUAAUCAACUCAAGUCCCCUCAUUGAAGCCUUCAGGGUGAACAGGCUGUCAGGCACUAACUUUGAGGUUGUCACCUUUGGGAAGCAACAACUGGAUUUUGAAACAGGACCAAACGUAUUUGAUUUGCAGAUUUAUGUUAAGGAUGAGGUCGGGGUGACCGACCUGCAGGUCCUGACUGUUCAGGUGACAGACGUGAACGAGCCACCCGAGUUUCAAGGCAACUUGGCGGAUGGUUUAGACCUCUUCAUAGCAGAAAGAGCGAACCCCGGAUUCAUUUACCAGGUGGAGGCCUUCGAUCCAGAGGACACGAGACGCCGAGCUCCCCUCAGUUAUUUCCUGACUUCUCCCUCAAGGAGCUUCAGCGUGUCUGCUAAUGGCACCCUCUUCUCCACAACAGAAUUGGACUUUGAAGCAGGACACAGGAGUUUCCACCUCGUUGUGGAAGUGAGGGACAGCGGAGGCCUCAAAGCCUCCACAGAGCUCCGGGUGACCAUUGUGAAUGUCAACGAUGAGAUGCCUUUCUUCACCAGCCCGACACGAGUGUACUCCAUCCCGGAGGAGCUGCAUGCUGGAACCAUCGUGGCCAAUGUCACAGCUGAGGACCCCGAUGAUGAUGGAAGCUUUCCCGGCCACCUCCUGUACACCAUCACGACAGUCAGCAAGUACUUGGUGAUAAAUCAGUUGACUGGUACGAUCCAAGUAGCCCAGAGGAUGGACCGAGAUGCAGGUGAAUUAAGACAGAAUCCCACCAUUUCUCUGGAAGUUCUGGUGAGGGACAGACCCUCCGGGGGCCAGGAAAACCGCAUCCAGAUAACGUUCAUUGUGGAAGAUGUCAAUGACAACCCAGCUACCUGCAGCAAGUUCACCUUCAGCAUUAUGGUGCCAGAAAGAGUGGCCAACGGGACAUUGCUCCUGGACCUGAACAAGUUCUGCUUUGAUAGUGACAGUGAAGCCCCAAACAACACAUUCAACUUCACUGCGCCAUCUGGAGUGGGGAGCAGCCGCAGAUUUUUACAGGAUCCAGCUGACUCUGGGAAAAUUGUGUUGAUUGGUGAUCUAGACUAUGAGAAUCCAAGCAAUCUGGCUGCUGGCAAUCAGUACACUGUGAUGAUCCAGGUGCAGGAUGUUGCCCCUCCUUAUUACAAAAAAAACAUCCACAUAUCUAUCUUAACAAGCCCAGAAAAUGAGUUUCCUCUUGUCUUUGAGAGGCCAUCCUAUGUGUUCGAGGUGUCAGAGACAAGACCAGCUAGAACCCGGGUUGGACAAGUUCGAGCAACAGAUGAGGACUUCCCCCAGAGCAGUAUCACAUACUCCAUCUCCAGUGGAGGGGCUAGCCCCCAGCACCCCAAUAUAUUUUGGAUUAAUCCCAAGACGGGAGAACUCCAGCUAGUAACCAAGACAGACCAUGAAACCACGCCCGUCUACAUUCUCAGAAUCCAGGCCUCCAAUGGAGAGGACACGAGCUCAGUCACUGUUACCGUGAACAUCCUUGGAGAAAAUGAUGAAAAGCCCAUGUGCACCCCCAACUCUUAUUUCCUGGCCAUCCCGGUGGAUCUGCAAGUUGGCACAAAUAUUCAGAAUUUCAAGCUCACGUGCACUGACCUGGAUUCCAGCCCCAGAUCUUUUCGUUACACCAUUGGCCCAGGCAAUGUCAACAGUCACUUCACCCUCUCUCCCAGUGCUGGCUCCAAUGUUACACACCUGCUGCUUGCAUCCCGCUUUGACUACGCUGGUGGCCUCGACAAGAUCUGGGACUAUAAACUACUCGUCUACAUAACUGAUGACAACUUGCUGUCCAGCAGGACGAAAGCUAGGGCUCUUGUUGAAACAGGAACAGUGACGCUGAGUGUUAAGGUCAUUCCGCACCCAACUACCAUCAUCACCACAACUCCCAGGCCCAGGGUCACCUACCAGAUCCUCAGGGAGAAUGUGUAUUCUCCAUCCGCGUGGUAUGUGCCUUUUGUCAUCACUCUGGGCUCCAUAUUGCUCCUGGGCUUUCUGGUGUCUCUGAUCAUCCUGAUAGCCAAAGUCAUCUACAGACACUGCCCCUGCAAGACUGGGGAGGACAAGAAGCCUCUGGCAAAGAAAGGAGCUACCGAUGUGAAGCGUUCAAAGAGCGAGGUUGUGGUGAAAACUAUCCAGAUGGACACUGUCUUUGACGGAGAAGCUGUGGACCCAGUUACUGGGGGAAUAUAUGAAUUCAACUCAAAAACUGGAGCCAGAAAGUGGAAAGAUCCAUCAGCCCAGAAGCCAGCAAGGACAGAGCCCAGCGCCCAGGGAACUGUGCCCGCCCCACGAAAAGUUGCUGCUGGAGAAGAGUCAGGGCUGCGUGGCAGCACCAACCAGGAAGGAGAUGGGCCGAGCAGCAGAGAGCGUGCCAGAGGUGCGGCCCCGGGUUCCAGGAGCGAGGAUGGCAAGCCGCGCACUCUGAAGGACAGAAACCCAGCCCUGGAGGACAGGACACCCCCCAAACUGCACGCAGGACAGUGAAUGAUGGUGCCAGGCCCCGCUCCAUGGGCAGGGAUGGGCCUGACUGCAGGGGCUGCCUCCCCUAAAUCUCACAGGUGCAGAAAUGUGGGCUGAAGGCAUUCGGACAUCCAGGGGGAAUGGGAUGUUUCAGAAAAACAUUUUCGAAACAGAAAGGGGUUUGAUGACAUCAUUGCCUUUUUCUUUUUUUUUUUUGUUUGUUUGUUUUGUUUUUUGGUACCGGGGAUCGAACUCAGGACCUUGUGCUUUCGAGGCAGGCAGCGGAACCACUGAACUAAAUCCUGGGCCCCAUCAUUGCCUUUUUCUGUGCUGGCACAGGAGAAUGUGUCUCGGGGCUCAGAACUACCUGUGCUUCGGAUCCACCGGGACUGCUAAUUUUUGUUACAGAAUGGCUCUGUUUCUUCUUCGCAUGGGCCACAGGAAGCUGUCUUCAGCUUACCCUAGGAAGCACACAGGGCCUCCUGAUCCUCGCACCUGGUUUCAUCCAGGGUUUCUGUUCCUGUUUGACCACCUCCAGCUUCACUUACAAAUACCCUUUUGAGUCACCUCCAGGCUUUCUUAAAAGCAGAGCAUGAAAAAAUGGAUGAGUAACGGAUAGGGUGCUCAUCUGGGAAAAGAAGUCACCGCAGAUACCCUCUUUUAUUCUUUUCCUAUUGAGGUGUAACUUACAUGGACUGAAAUGCACAGAGCUAAGGUAUUUCACCAGACCCUAUGUAGACGUCUCCCUGAGGGAUUGGGCCUUGCUGCUGAGGACGGGAAAUUCGAGGCCAGGUCUGAGGACGAGUUUCCUGUGUCCUGGAGCAAGCAGAGCCUGCGCCUCCUGGGGCCGUGUGCAACAAAAGCGUGCGGAGCUCGUGGACGGAAAAGGCCAGUGCUGCUUCUGCUCCUCAGAGCCCUCUUCCGCCUCUGUGGCUCCAUUGUUUGCCUUUUUAUUUAGUGUGAUUUGUGCUGGCUGAGAAAAUUAAGCAACAAAAUGAGUAAACAUUGAGAACGGUCGCCACUGCAACGUGGCGUGUCUCAUUU
Heterocephalus glaber (naked mole-rat) is the source of this 3794-nucleotide RNA transcript. It is a transcript of the gene named cadherin related family member 3, with no coding region annotated. The record is from RefSeq and is a predicted model, not a curated record. NCBI's taxonomy places the organism in Eukaryota, Metazoa, Chordata, Mammalia, Rodentia, Bathyergidae.